GGAUGUGAGGGCGACCUGGCUGCCACAUCUGUCACCCCACACAUCGCCAGGGUUGAUUCAGCUGAUCUGGCUGGCUAGGCGGGUGUCCCCUUCCUCCCUCAGCACUCCAUGUGCGUCCCUCCCCAAGCUGUGCGCUCGGUCGAAGAGGAUGACCCCCAGUAGAGAAAGACCGCUCCUCGGUCAAAGGUAGACAAGUAGCUGCACUCCCCCGCUAGAACCUCCAAACAAGCUCUCAAGGCCCAUUUGGUGGCAUCCUUGGCACCAGAGUCUGCUUGGACAUUUAUUGGUUCCCUCUAU
This 297-nucleotide small nuclear RNA is filed under the name Chinchilla lanigera (long-tailed chinchilla). Its description in RNAcentral is "7SK RNA (ENSCLAG00000021954.1)". It matches the Rfam family "7SK RNA". Rfam says of the family: 7SK was discovered as an abundant small nuclear RNA in the mid-70s but a possible function has only recently been suggested. Two independent studies have found that 7SK RNA binds the CDK9/cyclin T complex (known as elongation factor P-TEFb). P-TEFb activates transcription by phosphorylating the C-terminal domain of RNA polymerase II. Lineage: Eukaryota; Metazoa; Chordata; Mammalia; Rodentia; Chinchillidae. The record is from Rfam by way of RNAcentral.